GGCUGCUGAUGGUUGUUCGUGGUUGUUUUAUCCUUCUGGGCAUAACUUUUCUUUGCACAUUUUUUGUCUCCAAAUAACAGUUUGUCUUGGCACUUGGAAUUUGCUCAUCUGUGCAGAAAGCUACAACUCUACAAGAAGCCGUUGCUCAACAAGUGUCUCUCUGUCCAUCCUGCAAGUGCAAUGUUUCUGGAGCAGCACUGCCCAGUAAGAAGAAACUGCUUUGCUCUCCUCACACAGUUUUGCAGAAGGUGUUAGCAAGAGCAGCAGUUUUCCACUGGGUCUUGCAAGGGGAGCUAUUGAUUAUCCUUACUGCUUAUAGAUGUCUGAUUAAAAC
RNAcentral lists this long non-coding RNA (334 nucleotides) under Gallus gallus (chicken). RNAcentral describes it as "lncRNA (ENSGALG00010025732.1)". Lineage: Eukaryota; Metazoa; Chordata; Aves; Galliformes; Phasianidae. The record is from RNAcentral.